Molecule: ribosomal RNA, 431 nt
Filed under: uncultured bacterium
Lineage: Bacteria
Description: partial 16S ribosomal RNA
Rfam family: Bacterial small subunit ribosomal RNA
Source: RNAcentral
AACGAACGCUGGCGGCAUGCCUAACACAUGCAAGUCGAACGAGACCUUCGGGUCUAGUGGCGCACGGGUGCGUAACGCGUGGGAACCUGCCCUUAGGUUCGGAAUAACUCCCCGAAAGGGGUGCUAAUACCGGAUAAUGUCUUCGGACCAAAGAUUUAUCGCCUUUGGAUGGGCCCGCGUUGGAUUAGCUAGUUGGUAGGGUAAAAGCCUACCAAGGCGACGAUCCAUAGCUGGUCUGAGAGGAUGAUCAGCCACACUGGGACUGAGACACGGCCCAGACUCCUACGGGAGGCAGCAGUGGGGAAUAUUGGACCAUGGGCGAAAGCCUGAUCCAGCAGUGCCGCGUGAGUGAUGAAGGCCUUAGGGUUGUAAAGCUCUUUUACCCGGGAUGAUAAUGACAGUACCGGGAGAAUAAGCUCCGGCUAACUCCG